AUCCCAAGCAUCUUCGGCGGCCGCCGCAGCAACGUCUUCGACCCCUUCUCCCUCGACAUCUUCGACCCCUUCCACGACUUCCCCAACGUCCUCUCCACCGCUGCCGGCGGCGGACAGAACGAAGCCACGGCGAUCGCCAACAUGCGGAUCGACUGGAAGGAGACGCCGGAGGCGCACGUGUUCAAGGCGGACAUGCCGGGGCUGAAGAAGGAGGAGGUGAAGGU
Molecule: long non-coding RNA, 224 nt
Filed under: Daucus carota (carrot)
Lineage: Eukaryota; Viridiplantae; Streptophyta; Magnoliopsida; Apiales; Apiaceae
Description: long non-coding RNA (DCAR_LNC005029)
Source: RNAcentral